RNAcentral lists this transfer RNA (75 nucleotides) under Alphaproteobacteria bacterium. RNAcentral describes it as "tRNA-Gly". It matches the Rfam family "tRNA". Rfam says of the family: Transfer RNA (tRNA) molecules are approximately 80 nucleotides in length. Lineage: Bacteria; Pseudomonadati; Pseudomonadota; Alphaproteobacteria. RNAcentral also lists the same sequence under 3 other names. The record is from RNAcentral.
GCGGGCGUAGUUCAGUGGUAGAACAUCUGCUUCCCAAGCAGAAUGUCGUCGGUUCGAUCCCGAUCGCCCGCUCCA